Molecule: ribosomal RNA, 1369 nt
Filed under: uncultured bacterium
Lineage: Bacteria
Description: bacterial SSU rRNA
Rfam family: Bacterial small subunit ribosomal RNA
Source: RNAcentral
GACGAACGCUGGCGGCGUGCCUAAUACAUGCAAGUAGAACGCUGAAGAGAGGAGCUUGCUCUUCUUGGAUGAGUUGCGAACGGGUGAGUAACGCGUAGGUAACCUGCCUUGUAGCGGGGGAUAACUAUUGGAAACGAUAGCUAAUACCGCAUAACAAUGGAUGACACAUGUCAUUUAUUUGAAAGGGGCAAUUGCUCCACUACAAGAUGGACCUGCGUUGUAUUAGCUAGUAGGUGAGGUAACGGCUCACCUAGGCGACGAUACAUAGCCGACCUGAGAGGGUGAUCGGCCACACUGGGACUGAGACACGGCCCAGACUCCUACGGGAGGCAGCAGUAGGGAAUCUUCGGCAAUGGGGGCAACCCUGACCGAGCAACGCCGCGUGAGUGAAGAAGGUUUUCGGAUCGUAAAGCUCUGUUGUAAGUCAAGAACGAGUGUGAGAGUGGAAAGUUCACACUGUGACGGUAGCUUACCAGAAAGGGACGGCUAACUACGUGCCAGCAGCCGCGGUAAUACGUAGGUCCCGAGCGUUGUCCGGAUUUAUUGGGCGUAAAGCGAGCGCAGGCGGUUUGAUAAGUCUGAAGUUAAAGGCUGUGGCUCAACCAUAGUUUGCCUUGGAAACUGUCAAACUUGAGUGCAGAAGGGGAGAGUGGAAUUCCAUGUGUAGCGGUGAAAUGCGUAGAUAUAUGGAGGAACACCGGUGGCGAAAGCGGCUCUCUGGUCUGUAACUGACGCUGAGGCUCGAAAGCGUGGGGAGCGAACAGGAUUAGAUACCCUGGUAGUCCACGCCGUAAACGAUGAGUGCUAGGUGUUGGAUCCUUUCCGGGACUCAGUGCCGCAGCUAACGCAUUAAGCACUCCGCCUGGGGAGUACGACCGCAAGGUUGAAACUCAAAGGAAUUGACGGGGGCCCGCACAAGCGGUGGAGCAUGUGGUUUAAUUCGAAGCAACGCGAAGAACCUUACCAGGUCUUGACAUCCCGAUGCUAUUUCUAGAGAUAGAAAGUUACUUCGGUACAUCGGUGACAGGUGGUGCAUGGUUGUCGUCAGCUCGUGUCGUGAGAUGUUGGGUUAAGUCCCGCAACGAGCGCAACCCCUAUUGUUAGUUGCCAUCAUUCAGUUGGGCACUCUAGCGAGACUGCCGGUAAUAAACCGGAGGAAGGUGGGGAUGACGUCAAAUCAUCAUGCCCCUUAUGACCUGGGCUACACACGUGCUACAAUGGUUGGUACAACGAGUUGCAAGUCGGUGACGGCAAGCUAAUCUCUUAAAGCCAAUCUCAGUUCGGAUUGUAGGCUGCAACUCGCCUACAUGAAGUCGGAAUCGCUAGUAAUCGCGGAUCAGCACGCCGCGGUGAAUACGUUCCCGGGCCU